UAAAGAUAAAAGAAGGCAACACGAUGAAGUUAUGUCAUCGAUAAGGAAGCAGAAAGAAGGAAUGAAAAGGAACAGGCUAGCAGAACGGAGACCGGGACGGGAACAGGCACACUGAUUGCCUCAUGAAGGCCAAGCUCAGCAAACCGCCCAAAGAAGCUCGUACAGCAAGGCGCUGGAAAUGGGCACAGUGGAGCUGGAGAGAAGCUGGAGCUGAGAGAAGCGGAGCCGCACACACAGCUGCCCCUCGCUGGCAGGUCCCUUGAAUGUGGUUUUUCUCAUCCUGAAGUUGUCCUGACAUCUGCUUACGCCAGGUCUGGAUAAUCCCCUUUGCCUUCCUCCUGGGCAGGAGGAUGGACUUCGAUUUGCUGUACUGGAGCAGAACAGAGCCAUGCAUACCACUGCGCACCCAUCGGUGUUGCCUGGGCUGGGAAGGUGCAUGGUCCUUGAUCCCAGUGAUACUGGGAAGCCUCAGCUCAAGUGAAUUCACAAGGUCAUCACAUCUACUUGGCAGUCCUGCUUGGCAAAAUUCUGCUUUCCUGACUCAGGAAGCAGCUCUCCUAUCCCAUAAAGAGAAAUAUUUCAGUUAUCACCUCAUGAGCUGCCUGUGACCAUGGAACAUGCGUUUGGCUAUCCAAAGGAGAGAUGGCAGGAUAAAACUGAAGGUUGAUGUGUAUUUCCUUCUUGGCUUGUUCUGAUUGGAUGUUUCAUUCUGUAACUGGAAUAGAAGAAAUAAGCCUCUUUUCAUUUCCAUUUUCUAAAGUCAUUGUUUUUACUUCUUAUGCUGCUGUGGUUCUAUACUCUCUCCUCAAUUUAUGCAUACUGUCAGCUCCAUAGCAGAGUGAGCACCCCUCAACCCAUUUUAAAAGAAUUAAGUUACUGCAAGCUAAGCCAUUUUUAUACAUACCUAUGUGCUAUGUAUAUAUAUGCAUAAAAAUAUUUUUCAGCCCAAACAGUUUGCUCAUCUGGCCAAUUGCACGGCCGCAUGUGUGUGGCUCCAGGCACAGGCAGCACAGCUGACAAGUCAGCUCUCCCUUAGCAGAACUAGGUGCAACCUUAUAUGGCAGCAGCUGGGGGACAAGCUUGUCUGGGACACAACUGUCCCCUCAGCUCGAACUGCAAAGAAGAGCUGGGCUGGCAGCCCCUCUCUGGGGUUCACGUCCCCACCCCUCUUUUGGCCCAGUGCUCCCCUGCCUCGGUAAGGAGUAAGCCCGGGGUAAUGAACAAGCAGGAAACUAUUUGCCAGGGUUGGGGAUUGCUUUGUUGCUUACUGCUAUGAAGAUGUUCACUAACAUCAGAGGAGCCUGAGCAUGCUGGGAGGGAAGGGGCAGGGCUGCCCCUCUGGAUGGCAGCCAGCCCCUAGCUCAGUUCAGCUGCUUUGUAAAAUUCACACCAGUUGCAAAAGGUAGGGCAGGGGUCUGCUCAGCAGGCUGUGCCACUGUGUCAUGUUCCCCCCAACCCCACCUUUAAAUUUAGCUAUCUGGUAACUACAUCUGUGCUAUGAUAGCAUCAGAUUAUACUAUUUUAAUUACGUUAAUCUUGUUGAAAUAUAACACUUGUGUUGGCAAGAGCAUUUCCCCCCCUAUUUUGUUAAUAUAAGAAAUUUAAUGCUUUACUGAGGCACAAUCUGGCUUACAUUAUGCUUUUGCAGCCUGAUGAUGUUGAGAGUGAGCAUGCUGUUGUUUUGUUUUUCCACUGAUCUUUAACUAAUGUUUUUAUCUCACCACAAGAGCAUAUAGCACUAAAAUUAAAAAAAAAAAAGUUAGAAAAGUUUAUCUGCUUGGCAGCUCUAGAUUUUAGGGAUGGAUGCAGGUAGAAAUAUCAGUGCCUCUCUGAUGACUAUCAAAACAGAAAAUGAAAGUCUUAUGUAAUGAAAAUUGAUUUUGAUCCUGUUUAUGUAUCUUUUUUCAGGUGAAUGCAGAUAAGCAAUGCUGUUUUAGAACAUAAUCAGGGCUUUCAGGGUAAGAUAACUUGGCACAAAUGUGGAAAGAUCAAAAUAUAUGCAAGAAAGUAGAUAUUAUGCUUGGAUUAACCAAAAAAAUUAUACUUAGGUUAAGCCUUUUACCUAAGCAUAUCAAAUCUAACAAAUAUAACAGCACCACUGUUUUAUAAACAGUAGAAAAAUAAAGUAGGGAAUUUAUGACUUGAUUAGUACAUCAGCCUAGGAAUGCUUUUUUUAAACAAACAAACAAACUCGGUUGUCUUGGAUUGGCAGCAGCAACAGAAAGGGUUGCUGCCUUAUCUUCAGCCCCUGCAGCUGAAUUUAUGGGAUCCUGUCAUUCUGCACCAUUCAAAAGCAUUUUGUCUCCAUCUUCAUCAGAUGCUAUUAAAAAAAGAAAAGAAGUGAGGGACUUUCCAUCUGAGUGGGACUUGGCAGGUCUGCUGAAAGAUUGUGAGAAGGCCCAUACUGCAUUCCAGGUGGUGGAGCGCAGAAGGAAUGCUGUACUAAUUCUCCCUCUGGCCAGACUGAUGUCCAGAACAGAUUUUUCAUUGCAGAUGAAACAGCAAUAUUCUGCCAUGUAACUGUGUCCUGAGGGGCUAUUAAAUUUAUUUAUUUUUUUAAACUUCAGUUUGGAGUUAAGAGGUAAGCCUUUUCUAUACUGCUACAAAAUUUAACCAUAUAAGAGCUGGAGAUUCUGCUCUUGCAGACGUUUUUAUGGUAUACAGAGAAGCAGACAAAAACUUGACAUAAAAAUGUGGUGCCACAGGCUUCAAGAAGUUAUGAUAUAACCCACCAUAAAGUGAAGUAUUUGAGGCUGCAAUUGGUUUUGCAACUAGGCAGAGCACAGCUGAAGUGAAUGAAUAAGGUUGCUGCUUAGACUUUAACUCUGAAAUGCUGACUAUGGAUUAUUAUAAGUUUCUAAAUCUGCAGUAGCUGCUUUCAGACCUGUACUUAGAAAGCAAGCAAAGGAAUGCAUCAUGCCAUUGUAUGACUGAAUUAUCAGGAAUUUGGGAACCAGAGCUUCUUUUAGAUCAGGCAAUUUACCAAGACUUCAAAUCUUGGCAGCUGUUGGUUUUCUGGAAGAAGCUAGUUAUAUGAACACAGCAAUAGAGUGAUAGUGCAGAGGGAGGAUUAAACCUCACAGAUGCCAACACUUGAGUAAUUAGCUCGUAUUUUUAUGUACUAGCCUCCAGAAAAAAAUGGGAGAAAAGAUUGGUCAGGACUACUGCAUACUUUCACAAGAUUCCCAUUAUCUAGAACAAUGAUGAGCUAUGGUUCCUAGCUAUUCUCUAGCACUAAAGUAAUGCUAUAUGUGUCUGUAAGCCUUUGAUAUAGCAAAGACAGCAUUGUUAGUAAGAACACAAUAAUUCACAUUUGAGCAUCCUCAGUAAGGCCAUAUCAAGGCAUAUAUUUACUUUUUCUCCUUAGGACCUUACUCACUGUCUUUAGAUAUAAAAACAAUACCAGUAUAUCCAAGAUAAAUACCAGAUACAUGCUCAUAUAUCUUACAGAAAAAAAAAACAAAAACAAAACACACCUUUUUCCUCUUUAACUAGUAUAACAUCAAAGGUGCUGUAAAUAACAUAAAAAUAAUAUAUUUUAAACUCACUAUUUCAGCUGUGACAUACCCCUACCUGUUAAAAACUUCCUUUCUUCCACUGUAUAUAUAUGUGAACUGAGGGACUUCUUAUUCAGCCUUUUCUAGCAAACAGAGGUUUCAGCUGUGGUAGGGUAUGAACUGCAAAUUAGGAAUAAUAAUCUUAUAUUAAAAUUAUGAGAACAUUUAACAGCUUCUAAGUGCUUCCAAGUGCUUUGAAUUGUGCUGUAUAUAGCACCUGAAGAUCGGUCCCCCUACCAAGGACCAGGUGUACAGAUCCUGACAAGAUCCUGAUGUUUUACAAGUAAUUUCAGAAAGGUUAUACAUCUGGAAUAAAAUUUUAAAUGAAUCAAGUAUUAAGGACUCUUUUAAGUUGAAACUUUUUUCCCAUGCAUCUCAUUUGUAUUUUAUUAGAUGCAGAGGUAACAGAUUUUUAUUUUUAUUUUUUUAAGUCUUUAGUACUUUGACUGAUAGCGUUAGGGAAAGAACAGAGAGAAAUUGUUGAAUGUUACUUUAUAGAAGGUAAAAAAAUAUUCUAAUGUUUUUCCAGUUUAAAUGUGGCUUAGUUCAGAGACUGUGAUACAAAUGGAUCAUUACUAACCCACAGAGCAAUUGGUAUUUAAUGUGUGUGGUACAGACGGGCUUUAGAGACUUCCAGUAUAAAAUAGAACUGCAGUAAUCCAAGGAUAUUCUAUCUUCAAAAGUUACAAGCAGUGGAUUGUUAAAAAUUAAGGAAGUAAGAAUGAAGUAACAUGAAUAACUGAUCAGGAUUAGAGGAGCAAAUGUGAUGUUUUUUAUAUGUAUCGAUGAUCUAAGUUAGAUCAGUAAUGUCUGUGACGGUGAAUACACUGAAAAUAAUAUUUUCAGUGUGACAUCUACCAAUAUCCUGACAACCACAAGGAGAUGAGGGAGUACAGGACAUUUUUUUUUUCCCAGGAUUUCCUGAUCGUUCUUGGAAAGUUACAGUUGUGUAAAGAAGAUGGGAAUGGUAAAGUGCUUGUACUAGAAAAAAGUGUUUGUGUGAAAACCAAUAGCAGUGUUUUCUACAUCCAGAAAUAUUCAUAUAUAUUCCUCUGUAUGGUUGAUAUACAAGGAUGAAAAAAUAUUCAUAUUUUUGUCUGUCUACAAAAAUAUCGAGAGGUGUCUAUUUGAAAAUACUUUCAGUGCUAUUUUGAUUUUUUUAGUAUAAAGACAGAAUAAUGUCUCUCAUUUUAUGAUAAUUAUUACCUAGAUAUAAGACAAUACAAAAUACUUUAUAUCACAAAAUCACUUACCUAUUUUUUAAAUUUUGAAAGUGAAGAUUCCUUUCUGAGUCAAGCCACAACAAAUGUAAUGUAAGUGAAUCAUCUCACUGAUUGUUAUGUUUAUGUAAAAAUAGAUGUAUCAUAUUUAUCUUGUUUUAAGAUAGCAAGAGCCCAGGUGAGCUUUCUCGCUGUUCCCAUGCUUAAAUACUACAGAGAAAAGGGCUUGGGAUCUAAUUUUCCAUCCUUACUGAAUUGUGGUCAUGACAACCAUCUGUACAAGGAUAAGCUUUACAGUAUUGUCUUGUUCAAGGGUAUCAUUUUGAUGUUACGCUGUGUGAUACAAUAAGCUAAUGGAAAAUAAUACCAUACAGCAGUUGGUGCUGUUAUCAGCAUAUACUGCUGACUUACACUUUUUUGUGUGUAUGUUUUUGUUUUGUUUAAUAUUAAUAUGGCUAUUGUGACAAGGAAAGUAUGGAAACGAUACCAGCUUUGAAAAAAAAUAAGUUAACAUUCAAGAGAAAGACCACUGGCUAAGGGAAAUGCCAAGCAUGUUCAACUCUUCAAAUGUGCCCAGCUUUCCUAGGUAAAAUAACAUUUGUUUUGAAUACAAGAUCUAUUUUUUCUCUACUGUGCCAUCCAUUGAGGCAAGAAAUGCUUUUCAAAAGCAAAGACUUUGCUUUUGCUUGACUUUACGGUAAGAGCUUGCCUAGCAAUAUGUGCACAAAAAUAAACAAAUGUAAAGUCAGUGCCAGGUCAUUAUUCCUGAGCUCCCUUCUGAAACAGAGCUAUUUGUGAAAUUAGGUGGAAUAAACCCGAACUUACCUGUUAUUAAACAGAAUCUAAUGGA
Molecule: non-coding RNA, 5627 nt
Organism: Anas platyrhynchos (mallard)
Lineage: Eukaryota; Metazoa; Chordata; Aves; Anseriformes; Anatidae
Source: RefSeq, a predicted model, not a curated record